RNAcentral lists this ribosomal RNA (460 nucleotides) under uncultured bacterium. Its description in RNAcentral is "partial 16S ribosomal RNA". It matches the Rfam family "Bacterial small subunit ribosomal RNA", at positions 338 to 795 of the family's 1533-position model. The record is from RNAcentral.
CCUACGGGGUGCAGCAGUGAGGAAUAUUGGUCAAUGGACGAGAGUCUGAACCAGCCAAGUAGCGUGAAGGAUGACUGCCCUAUGGGUUGUAAACUUCUUUUAUAUGGGAAUAAAAUGUUCCACGUGUGGGAUUUUGUAUGUACCAUAUGAAUAAGGAUCGGCUAACUCCGUGCCAGCAGCCGCGGUAAUACGAAGGAUCCGAGCGUUAUCCGGAUUUAUUGGGUUUAAAGGGAGCGUAGGUGGAUUGUUAAGUCAGUUGUGAAAGUUUGCGGCUCAACCGUAAAAUUGCAGUUGAAACUGGCAGUCUUGAGUACAGUAGAGGUGGGCGGAAUUCGUGGUGUAGCGGUGAAAUGCUUAGAUAUCACGAAGAACUCCGAUUGCGAAGGCAGUUCACUGGACUGCAACUGACACUGAGGCUCGAAAGUGUGGGUAUCAAACAGGAUUAGAUACCCGAGUAGUC